CCUACGGGCGGCAGCAGUGAGGAAUAUUGGUCAAUGGUCGUAAGACUGAACCAGCCAAGUAGCGUGCAGGAUGACUGCCCUACGGGUUGUAAACUUCUUUUAUGCGGGGAUAAAAUGAGUCACGUGUGCCGUUUUGUAUGUACUUUAUGAAUAAGGAUCGGCUAAUUCCGUGCCAGCAGCCGCAGUAAUACGGAGGGUCCGGGCGUUAUCCGGAUUUAUUGGGUUUAAAGGGAGCGUAGGUGGGUUGUUAAGCGUGUUGUGAAAGGUUGGGGCUCAACCGUAAAAUUGCGAUGGGUACUGGCAGUCUUGAGUACAGUUGAGGUAGGCGGAAUUCGUGGUGUAGCGGUGAAAUGCUUAGAUAUCACGAAGAACUCCGAUUGCGAAGGCAGCUUACGAAACUGCCACUGACACUGAAGCUCGAAAGUGCGGGUAUCAAACAGGAUUAGAUACCCCUGUAGUC
This 460-nucleotide ribosomal RNA is filed under the name uncultured bacterium. Its description in RNAcentral is "partial 16S ribosomal RNA". It matches the Rfam family "Bacterial small subunit ribosomal RNA", at positions 338 to 795 of the family's 1533-position model. The record is from RNAcentral.